Long non-coding RNA from Biomphalaria glabrata, 3551 nucleotides. RefSeq lists it as uncharacterized. The transcript is spliced from 11 exons. NCBI's taxonomy places the organism in Eukaryota, Metazoa, Mollusca, Gastropoda, Planorbidae. The record is from RefSeq and is a predicted model, not a curated record.
UUCAAGAUGUUGAGUAUUGAUUACUAAUCAACUACUAGCCUGGAAGAUAAAAGCCAAAGCUGUAAACAGACAGGUCAGCUUAACAAGUGCACAUUCUCUGCUGCCAACAGUACCAAUUUGUCAUCCAAGCAACAAAUAUUCCUUGGUAAUCUGCUAUCAGAUGACAGUUAUCUCUUUGGCAUUUUUAUGAAUUAAAGCUUUCAAAGCCAAAGUAAGACUUAAUUUUUUCUUUUCUUUAACUGCUAAUUCUAAAAUAAUUUAUCAUUGCAUGUUAAAAAUAACUUGUUAUACAUUUUUCUGUGUUUUUGGUCAAGCUUCAGAUUUGCUUAGCAUAUUCCUGUACUACAUAUCAACAAAUGUUUGAUGGUUUGUCUGGUUCAUCUCUUAACACUAUGAAGAUGGCUACACUAAUCUUAACAAGCAAACAUUCUGUUGCCAACAGUACCAAUUUGUCAUCCUAUCCAAGCAACUACUAUUUCUUGGUAAUCUGCUAUCAGAUGAUUACAGUUUUCUCUUUGGCAUUUGUAUGAAUUAAAGCUUUCAAAGCCAAACCUUAGAUUUGGUUAGCAUAACCCUGAACUGCAUAUCAACAAAUGUCUAAUGGUCUGUCUGGUUCAUUUCUCAAGACUAUGAAGAUGGCUACACAGGUAUCAGCAGUGCACACCUAUGAUACACAAGUCUUCAUUGCCAAGUCAUUCUGCCAAACAGUGUGUACACCUUUCUUGCAUUGGUAGUGACCCACUUUACUGUCAUGAGUCUGGAUAUGUCAGGCCAAGGAGAUCAAGUUUGUGUCCAAGGUUACUUAGUUAAUUCUCUAAGAACAAUAGACAGACUCUACAUGCUACUGAUCUGGAGGUUAGUGGCUCAAUCAUUGUGCACUGAUUCUUCACUGAUGCCUUGAUUCCCCACUGUCAACUUUAUUGUCAUAAAGUUUAUCUAGUGAUCUACAUAUCAAGACUAAAUGGUCAAUUAAACAUGAGGUCAAGGAAAAAGGAUGAACAUUUCAAGGCUACAGAAGGAACAUUAAACGUCUCUCUCACUGUGAAAAGAUUCUACCCAUCUACAAAUGAUCAACAUGUUUUAUCUUAAGUUCGUCUGCCAUUUCUUCAAAUGGAGCCAUAUUAAGAAUAAGGUUCAAAUGUAUCAGUUGUUUUUGUUGACAGAUAUCAAGUCAUUUCAGUUCUCAAUUAUUUUGUGCACCAAGUUACAAGAAAAAAUUUAAGCAAGAGAGGUCACUACACUAAGACUUUGUCUUCUCAUAAGAAAGGAUGGCUGCCUGGUCAUGUGAUAUGUGCACUGGACUGUGUAUGGUCAUCUUGAUGCUCAUAUCUUGCCUGAUGACAUUUAUUCUGCUGAACAUUUGGUCAAGGAAGUAGAUUCUCUUCAGCUCUCAAGAAACAUUCAAAACAUGUCAAACAUUCGACAAGAAUAUCAAGUGCAAUGUACAUACCAACAUGAUGAAAAGGUAGACAACAUGAAGAUGUAGACCAACAUGAUGAAGAUGUAGACCAACAUGAAGAGGUAGACCAGCAUGAUGAAGAUGUAGACCAACAUGAUGAAGAUGUAGACCAACAUGAUGAAGAUGUAGACCAACAUGAAGAUGAAAUGUAAACCAAAAAAUGGGUCAAGAGAUGUAUGGAAUACAAUGUGAACAUCUUGAGAAGUAAAACAAUUCCUAGAGGCAAAGACACAGACACACCGGAUCUAUUAGAGAUUUUCCUUUUCUACCAUCAUUUAGAGACUUCCUUGUGCUCUAAGGGAAUAUGUCAUUAUCUUUUGAUUGCUAAUUGGCAUUGAUGUUUUUACAUUCCUACUGCGUCUGAAAGAAAUUAACAUUUCCCUAAUGCUACUUCAAAACCAGACCUUCUCAAGACAAUUUUAGUGACCAAGCUGCAAUAUGGGACUCAGUAGGAAACAAUGAAGAAUGCUCCUAACCUCAGGUUGAGUAACCAUGCUCACCUACUAGAGUGGCGACAAAUACUUCUACACCCACAGUUUUACAUCCUGAACCCUGUAACCCAACCUCACAACAUGGUUACAUUACCGGAAGUGGUCGCAAGGUCAGAAAACCUAACAGAUACAAUGGAUAGAACAAUGAACAGGUACAAGUACUCAAGUGAUGUACUUUGUGAGAACUAUUUAGGUGGAAUCACCAUAAUUGACUUGUAUAAAUCUUGUUCUAUAUUUAGGUAUAUCUUGACAAUCAGUCCAGUCAUUUGUUCAUUUUUUUUUUAAAUAUUCCUUUUUUUCCCCUCAAUCUUCUUGUUGUUUCAGUUACAUGUUUUUGUAUUUUGAAGGAGGAAGGUGCUUUGGUAUAUUAUCCUUAUUAUUAUUGUACCAGUAUUAAGCAAACUUGUAUAUCUUUAAUUAUUCAUGAAUUCUAAAGCAGAACGUCACUUCCACCGGAAAAUGUUGUAACAACUAUACGUGUCUUCAGUUAACAUUCAAUACUCUGUACAGUCACAAUGCCAAAGCCUUGCUAGAUUAUGCUUUUAAUUCAAUUUGUUAUCUCCCCUGCUUUAGUGUGCUAUCAUAUAAUUUUUUGUGUCACAUCCCUGCACAAUUUGUUCUAGCUUUUUUACAGUAUAAAUAGCGACUUGACAUUAUUUAGCUCUAUUAUAAUAUUGUUAUAUUAUUAUAUUUAAAAUAAAACUGUUAACAUAUUCUAUGCUGUUAUAAUAUAAAUGUUUUGCUGUUACCAUGAAUACAGUUUUGAGUUUUUGUCUGAUAUCUUAGAGGAGAAAUUUUUCAUAAAUAAUAAUAAUAAGGCUUAUCUUCAAGUCCGAAGAUUAGUGAGAAGUAUGCAGUAUUCCCCAGCUAGGACCUACAUAUUUUGCUAUAAAUAAAGAGUAUAAUAAUAUUUACUACUUGGUAUUGUCAGUCUUCACUAAAGCAAUGAGUUUAUCCCCUUAGUGUGUUUAAAAUUUUCAAAUACUAAUUCACUUUGUAUUAUCUAUUGGUGAUCAUGGGGUAUCCACUUUGUCAUCUCCAUUGUCUCUGGUGUUAACACUCAGUGUCCUGUUGGAGGUUACGGCUAAGAUGUUAUCUCUCUUUCUGAUGGAACACAUGUAAAACCAACAAAACAAACAUUAGACCUAGACUUUAUUAACAGGUAAAUUUUUAUAAUUGUGAACUGGCGCUCCCAAAGCUACUUUUAUGUAUUUUAAAUUUUACUUCUGUAGGCUAGUGCUAAGCUGUAUACUUGUAUUUCUGCCUAUUAUAUGGGUUAGGGUGGAGUACUUAAAAUAGAGCCUAUGCUGUUUCCUGUACUGUUGACCAGUGGUCUCUGUGUCAGUUUUAAUUAUUCUGUACCUGGGACUGCCUGUAAGUUUCAGAAUUUUUAUUUUAUUUUUUAAAAUUUUACUAUGUGUAAAUCUGUUUUAUAUUUGAACAACUGUCAAAAUAACUAGCAGUUUUUUUUUUCUAAAGUUUGUUUUAAAAAUAUGGCCAAGCCCUGCCCAGUGCUGUCAUGAUGGCCACUUCUAGUGUUUAUGUACUAGAUUGUAACUGCUGCCUUAGUCAUUGAAAUUAAAGUCUCAUUUUUGAAUUUC